AUCGAACGCUGGCGGCAGGCCGAACACAUGCAAGUCGAGCGGAGCGGCGGACGGGCAAGUAAUACCUAGGAAUCUGGAUGGUAGUGGGGGAUAACGUCCGGAAACGGGCGCUAAUAGCGCAUGCUAUCAGAUGAGCGUAGGUCGGAUUAGCUGGUGGGUGGGGUAAAGGCCUACCAAGGGGACGAUCCGUAACUGGUCUGAGGGGAGGAUCAGUCACACUGGAACUUAGACCCGGCCGAGACUCCUACGGGAGGCAGCCGUGGGGAACCUUGCGCAAUGGGCGAUAGCCUGAUCCAGCCAGGCCGCGUGUGUGAGGAAGGUCUUCGGAUUGUAAAGCACUUUAAGUUGGGCGGCGUUACCAACAGAAUAAGCACCUGCUCACUCCGUGCCAGCCGCCGCGGUAAUUC
This 407-nucleotide ribosomal RNA is filed under the name uncultured bacterium. RNAcentral's name for it is "partial 16S ribosomal RNA". It matches the Rfam family "Bacterial small subunit ribosomal RNA", at positions 29 to 526 of the family's 1533-position model. The record is from RNAcentral.